UCGUGCUACUAAAAAUUUGACGUUUUCGCUGCGGAAUCCGAGCAAAAAGGCGAAUUAAACAGAAAACAGCAGACACGCAUACCAGCGCAAAAGUCGAGCGCAGCGAAAAUGCGGCGAAAAAGAGGCAGCUGAGAGAGCGGCGAAUACGAAUACUUGGACAUAUUUAUCGAUUGACUGGCAAAGAAGAAGAGCACAAGAGAGCGGCAGACAACUGGUCGCUUAAUUAAUUUGCUGAAAUAAACAUCUUGGGCUUUGUUGUGAAACGGAUCAGGAGCACACAAAUUACAUUCUGAGUAACUAACGAAGGAAGUAACAAGAAAACAAGAUUUCGAUUAUCACUGCGCCACUAUGCACACUUAUAAUUCCCAAUCGGCUGUAAAAUUGAAUGAAAGGAUAUGCCAGGAUUUUGGAUCCUUCGCUGCAGUGGGGAUGGAUAUUCGUUAAGGAUCUGGCUCUACUUACUGC
Molecule: long non-coding RNA, 465 nt
Organism: Drosophila sechellia
Lineage: Eukaryota; Metazoa; Arthropoda; Insecta; Diptera; Drosophilidae
Exons: 3
Source: RefSeq, a predicted model, not a curated record